RNAcentral lists this ribosomal RNA (406 nucleotides) under uncultured bacterium. Its description in RNAcentral is "partial 16S ribosomal RNA". It matches the Rfam family "Bacterial small subunit ribosomal RNA", at positions 28 to 526 of the family's 1533-position model. The record is from RNAcentral.
GACGAACGCUGGCGGCGUGCCUAAUACAUGCAAGUCGAGCGAGCGGCGGACGGGUGAGUAAUGUCUGGGAAACUGCCUGAUGGAGGGGGAUAACUACUGGAAACGGUAGAUAAAAACGCAUACCAUCAGAUGUGCCAAGAUGGGAUUAGCUAGUAGGUGGGGUAACGGCUAACCUAGGCGACGCUCCCUAGCUGGUCUGAGAGGAUGACCAGCCACACUGUAACUGAAACACGGUCCAUCCUCCUACGGGAGGCAGCAGUGGGGAAUAUUGCACAAUGGGCGCAAGUCGGAUGGAGCCAUGCCGCGUGUAUGAAGAAGGCCGUCGGGUUGUAAAGUACUUUCAGCGGGGAGGCGUUACCCGCAGAAGAAGCACCGGCUAACUCCGUGCCAGCAGCCGCGGUAAUAC